GCCCAGCUCGCUACGCAUAACUAGAGCCUUUUGUCGUUUAACAAUACCUAACACAUGCGGUUAAACCUGUAUUACUGGUUAUUUGUAGGAGUUUCAUAUUGCGAGAGUAGUCUGUUAAAGCGUAGGAGCAGGAAACUUCACUUCACUUAAGAUAAGAAUACCUCACAUGAAGGAUUUACAGAGAGAGACACAUGUUGUACAUAUUAGGGAGAAAUGCUUUGAUGCGCAGAAAUAAAGGUGGAAAUCCUCAAAAUCCUGAACACAAGGAAGCCAACAAGAAAAAGUUAACUGAACAAGACUAUCACUUGUUGGCCAAAGUCCUGUCAGUUGGAUUGGUAGACGCAGACCCCAAUUAUCUUCAACACCUCAAGGACUACAGGGACCUGCGUGGUAGCACUUCCUGAAGGAUCCACACAAGGAAAUGCACCAGGAAAUGUACGGCACAGUUAUUUCUGGAGCCAAUCACAUUUGGUACCCUGGAAAAUAUUUAUUUCUACGCAAGUUCAAGCUAUAUCAAAAAACAUUAACAGACAAUGUGAGAAUGAAGAAGGAUCCACUCAUGGGCCCACAGUUGUCAUUGGAGUGAUGUGUUGCCCUUUUAUUUAUUCGUUAAUUAUUGAAUAAUGAAAUGAUUAGUUAUAAAACUGUGCAUAUUAGUCUUUGCCCCAUGGCAAAAUGGGUAGAAUUGUAGGAAUUUAGCUGCUUCCCCCCCAAAAAAACUGUGGUUUAGCUCACAUACUGUUCAUGAUUUCCACUUAACAGAUAUGUACGAUAUAAAAGUGUUCAUACAGCUUUUGGAAACAUAAUGAUAUUCCAAUCUCAAGACAAAAAGUUAAAACACUUGUUAAGAUAUUUUAUCACCUCGUGUAUACUCUCAUAUUCUCAUUUGGUCAAGUUGUAGCCAGAGAAUUAGAAAGUGGAAAAUUAUUGUUUUGAAAAUGUGAUAACUUCCUGGUAGGAAAGGACUAAACCGAUCAACUGAGUUCUAUUUUUCAAGUGUGAUAUGUCGAUUACAUUUAUUUUAAAAAGAACAACUCUAUCUUCAUGAAACACAAACAUCAUACGUUUAAGUAAUUUCAAUCUCUUUAAAUACUUUUGGUAGAGUAUCAUAUCACUGUUUUCCCACAAUAUCUUACAGACAGAUUUCUUAGUUAGAAACUAUGUUGUCAGAGGACAGUACAUAUCCCAAGACCCUGUGUGCUAUAUCCAUUCAUACACAUACAGUAUUUCUUGAGGUAUGUUGGGGAAAUCAGAGUGACAACAAUGUAUCAGGCCCCGGUGGUUUGAAAGAGGAACAUGGGCUGAAUUCACAAAAGGUUGAUGGCACCUUAAUUGGGGAAGACGGGCCCGUGGUAAUGGCUGGAGCGGAAUAAUUUGAAUGGUAUCAAUCACAUGGUUUGAUGCCAUUCCAUUUACACCAUUUCAUACAUGAUUAUGAGUCGUUCUCCCCUCAGCAGCAUCCACUGGAGUUUCAUUUCCUUUUAGUAACCGUCCUAAAGUAAUAAGAGAGGUUAUUAUAACAUUAGCACGGCAUUUCUACUUCUGACUUCAUGGCUCUAGCCUGCUGAGGUCACUCCCCAGAUGCAGUUGUUCAGGGUGUGUCUCAGAAGGUCAACAUUUUCACCACCGUUAUGUUGAAGAGGAAUAACCCCAACACACCAGAGGUGCUAAGGAGCCUGAGGAGAGGAUACACCCAAAGACCUUCCGCCAAGUAGAUACAUAUCACCCUACAGAACAAGAGAUGGAGAAUGGAGGUGCAUCAGUGAAACAACAUACAGAACAAUGUCUGAUUCUUAUUGUCAAUAUAUCGUAUGUGUAGUGGGUCAGCAUGCAUUUCAAAUCAGAAUUAUAACUCAAUGAUCAAAUUACUUUGGAAUGGGGAUUAAAACUUCAAUCACAUGAUCAAUAACAUUUCUUCUUCUUCGUUUGGGUUUUAUGGCGGUGAAGGAGGAUGUGAUCUGUAGUUUCUGCUGCUGGACAGUUAGGACUUGAACCUGUGUUGUGUUUUCCUAUCUUUUGGACAGAGUGAUUGAGGCCAUUGUGUUCUAUAUGCAGACGGGUGAUUAUGGUUUCUGAUUGUCUUGAGAGUAUUUUGUGGUUAUUGUAGAUUGGGUGGAUGGAGUAUAGAUGCCCUCCUUUUCCCCUUCUGUCCAUUCCUUUUUGCCAUUUGUCUGUGAUUUUGAUUCUAAUGAGUGACUUUAUUUCAGAUUUUGACAUUGGAACUAUGACGUUGAUGACGUCAUGUAGUGCUCCUUAUGCCGCUGUCAUUCCCAGGCACCCCCAUGUGAGCCGGGACCUAAAGAAAGUUGACUGUAAUGGCUUGGUGUUGCAUCCUAAGAGGUGCCUGUAAGAUUUUGAAUACUAGGUCUGGCCUGCUGUGGGUGUUUCCUCAGUCCAGUGUUUGUAGGACUGAGGUAGAGUCUGUACAGAUGAGAUGCUAUAAGUUCGGAGGUGAAUACUGAAAGGUUAUUUGUUUGUCUUUUUUUCUGAGUGAACUGUAUGUCUGGGAUAGAGAAGGCUGCUGAGACGUGUCCUGUCACCGGAUUAUUGGAGCCAUCAGUGUAAAUGUGUGUUGCAAAGUUGUAUUGUGACCUUACAUACCCUGCUGUCAGCAGUCCUACCACCCCUUUAUCCUCUCCUUCCC
This 2644-nucleotide long non-coding RNA is filed under the name Salmo salar (Atlantic salmon). RNAcentral describes it as "lncRNA (ENSSSAG00000103985.1, ENSSSAG00000119328.1)". Lineage: Eukaryota; Metazoa; Chordata; Actinopteri; Salmoniformes; Salmonidae. The record is from RNAcentral.